CCUACGGGAGGCAGCAGUGAGGAAUAUUGGUCAAUGGACGAGAGUCUGAACCAGCCAAGUAGCGUGAAGGAUGACUGCCCUAUGGGUUGUAAACUUCUUUUAUAUGGGAAUAAAACAGGGUAUGCAUACCCUCUUGUAUGUACCAUAUGAAUAAGGAUCGGCUAACUCCGUGCCAGCAGCCGCGGUAAUACGGAGGAUCCGAGCGUUAUCCGGAUUUAUUGGGUUUAAAGGGAGCGUAGGUGGAUUGUUAAGUCAGUUGUGAAAGUUUGCGGAUCAACCGUAAAAUUGCAGUUGAUACUGGCAGUCGUGAGUACAGUAGAGGUAGGCGGAAUUCGUGGUGUAGCGGUGAAAUGCUUAGAUAUCACGAAGAACUCCGAUUGCGAAGGCAGCUCACUGGACUGCAACUGACACUGAUGCUCGAAAGUGUGGGUAUCAAACAGGAUUAGAUACCCGGGUAGUC
RNAcentral lists this ribosomal RNA (460 nucleotides) under uncultured bacterium. Its description in RNAcentral is "partial 16S ribosomal RNA". It matches the Rfam family "Bacterial small subunit ribosomal RNA", at positions 338 to 795 of the family's 1533-position model. The record is from RNAcentral.